RNAcentral lists this ribosomal RNA (217 nucleotides) under Shigella flexneri. RNAcentral describes it as "partial 23S ribosomal RNA". It matches the Rfam family "Bacterial large subunit ribosomal RNA", at positions 308 to 529 of the family's 2925-position model. The record is from RNAcentral. RNAcentral also lists the same sequence under 1 other name. Lineage: Bacteria; Pseudomonadati; Pseudomonadota; Gammaproteobacteria; Enterobacterales; Enterobacteriaceae.
GCCUGAAUCAGUGUGUGUGUUAGUGGAAGCGUCUGGAAAGGCGCGCGAUACAGGGUGACAGCCCCGUACACAAAAAUACACAUAUUGUGAGCUCGAUGAGUAGGGCGGGACACGUGGUAUCCUGUCUGAAUAUGGGGGGACCAUCCUCCAAGGCUAAAUACUCCUGACUGACCGAUAGUGAACCAGUACCGUGAGGGAAAGGCGAAAAGAACCCCGG